This 164-nucleotide ribosomal RNA is filed under the name Trichoderma reesei. RNAcentral describes it as "partial small subunit ribosomal RNA". It matches the Rfam family "Eukaryotic small subunit ribosomal RNA", at positions 1639 to 1799 of the family's 1831-position model. Lineage: Eukaryota; Fungi; Ascomycota; Sordariomycetes; Hypocreales; Hypocreaceae. The record is from RNAcentral.
CGUUGAUUACCGUCCCUGCCCUUUGUACACACCGCCCGUCGCUACUACCGAUUGAAUGGCUCAGUGAGGCGUCCGGACUGGCCCAGAGAGGUGGGCAACUACCCCUCAGGGCCGGAAAGCUCUCCAAACUCGGUCAUUUAGAGGAAGUAAAAGUCGUAACAAGG